Alexandromys fortis (reed vole) is the source of this 1739-nucleotide long non-coding RNA. RefSeq lists it as uncharacterized. Lineage: Eukaryota; Metazoa; Chordata; Mammalia; Rodentia; Cricetidae. The record is from RefSeq and is a predicted model, not a curated record. The transcript is spliced from 4 exons.
GCCUGAGCAAGCUUGGCGAGCUGCAAGGCACCUUGAGUAGCAGCCAGAUCCCGAGCGCCCCCCGGUGCUUUGCGCAGGGUACCUGAGCAGUCUGGGGGGCCAUCAGGUGUGCCACUAAGGGAAGGCUGAUUUGGCUACGCCAGAGUUGGGCCCUGCGUGGGACCCAUCGCAAUGUCGAAAGAAACAGGACGGGAAACAGCUCAAAACCAUACCUGUAAGCUAGAACUCACUGGAGUGCGUCUAAGCAGCUCGCCUUUGGGACCCACCCAGAAUAUCCGGAUAACAGUUACCCCGUUCUCUGUGUGUUGAACUUGCGUAGACGCGGGUUCGGCCCCAGGGGCCACCACGAUAAUUUGGGGGACUGAGGAAACUAUUUCCUGGAGGGUUCAGGCGAUGUAAAAAGCCACUGUGAUUUUUACAGAGUCAAAACCACUCAUAAACCGGUGCACCCUGUUUCCCACCACCCCGCGCCGUGCACCUCUAGGAAUGGAAGGGGCUACCACCAGCGGAAACCCGCGCGCCCGGGGCUAACCUCCGGGCCGGGCCAUUAAUCACUUAGUCCGCGCUCUGCGCACGCCUCCCCAAGCCUUCGACCCGCAGGGUUGGAGGCUCCAAGCCGCUGGAGAGCUCAGCGCCUCUCCCCGACUAGCUUCGCCCAACUCUCUGCCCUUCCCGCUUCCUGGCCGCCAGGCGCUUUCCCUACAAUCUAGUUGUUUGCAGAGUGCAUGCAAAGUGGCGCGUGUUUCGGGGGCACCCAGCCGCCAAGGAAGAAGCCAUCAGCCCGCUCCCGUGUUACUCGGCAGCAGGCCUGGGGACUAGCUGCGAAGUAGCCGGGUGCCUGCAGCCGCAGAGCUGGGGCACGCGGAGCGCGCCAUGGGGAGCUCACCACAAGGCCGAAGGUCGCGUCGGGAGGCGCAGGAGGAUCCGAGGAGAAGGGCCGGAGAGGCUCUGUGGAACGCAGUGGACGCUGCUGAAGAGGUGCCUUGAAGAAAGCUACAGGAACACCUCGGAGAAGCACUCCUGGAUUUUGCCAGCUCUGCUGUUGCCCAAACUUGGAAACAAGCCCAGCAUUUUGCACAGCCAUCUUCUCUCUGAGGGUCCCUAGUAUGCUCUCCCCCAUGCCCUGCUGGAAGGACGACCGCUGCAGAGGCCACCACACAGAGACUCCAGACCAGGGAGACACAGGCAAUGCUCUGUGUUAUCAUGCAAGCCUGGGAAGUCACCCCUGGAACCGCCAACAUGAGGAUUUCCACUACCAUGCUGGCUGUGAUCAACACACCCAAACCCCAAAAUUCUUUCCUGAUCUGGAACCUUUGCCUUUCCCUCUUGGGCUGUCUGACCCUCAGCCCUUGCCACCUUUGCCCCUACACUUCUGGGAGCACAGCUUCAAGGACCUGCAGGCUAUAGAGACUGCUGGAUGCCUGCUCUGCCUACACCUCCUGUUCCCAAGGAGAGGCGCCCGGAGCCCACCUGAAUUCCAGAUACCAGCUGUGUGACUGAACAGACUUCCUAGCCUCUGCUGGCCCCUUGGCUGCAAGGGACUUGGCUGAGCCCUGUAUCUGCAGGAGUCUGGAUAUGACUCUUGUGCUAGAGAUACCUCUGCCCUGCUGGAUGUGCGAUGGACACUCACCUCUGGGGAAGGAUUGGGGCUGGUGGGCGGCUCCAUUUCAGUUCUGGGAGCUUGGGGAUCUCCUGGGCCACAGGCCACAGCAGCGGGCCUCGGGGCUGGGAUCACGAUC